UAUUGAUUUUAUAAAAAUUCUUGUUCUGUUCUUAAUUUUUGUUAUCGCCAUUUGUAUAAAGAAUCACAAAUUGAACCGUCGGGUGAUGGCGUACCUUUUGUAUAAUGAGCCAACGAGUUAUUAUUGCAUGCAAGCCUAAGCCGUUAGGUGUAAGCGUAGGGAAACCAAGUCUGAAUAGGGCGAGGGCUUGUGAAUUAAUAUUUUUUGAGAAAACAGUGCGAUAGAAAUUAUUAAGAUGUGAUUAAAACGAACGAAAAUGUAUAAAAUACAUUGAGAGAGUUUUAAGAAACAGGUUGAUAAUUUGGAUUGCACCCGCAGGGCGACAAAAUUUUGCCAAAUUAACUGCGUAUUUAUUCUUGUGUGUAUGUCAUACACACUGCGAUUAAAUGCUUGUUCCUUUGCCAAACUUGUAUGUCGCUGUUUUUCAAAGAAAUAUUAAUUCACAAGCCAUGAGUAUGCAGUAAUAGACCCGAAGCGGGGUGAUCUAGGUAUGGGCAGGCUGAAGGCGGCGUAACAGUCGCUGGAGGGCCGAACGCACCAAUAUGGCAACAUUGGGCGAUGACCUGUGUCUAGGGGUGAAAAGCCAAUCGAACCCCGUUAUAGCUGGUUCUCCGCGAAAACUAUAGAGGUAGUGUCUUGUGUGUUCCUUGUUGGGGGUAAAGCACUGAAAUGGCUAGGGGGAGUAAAAUCUUACCAACCCAUAUCAAACUCUGAAUACCAGCAAGUCAUAGCACAGGAAACAGUCCAUCGGUGCUAAGGUCGGUGGACGAGAGGGCAACAGCCCAGACCGCCAACUAAGGUCCCAAAAUAAUGAUUAAGUGGGAAAGUGAGUCGAGAUUCCAAAACAACCAGGAUGUUGGCUUGGAAGCAGCCAUCGUUUAAAGAAAGCGUAAUAGCUCACUGGUCUAUUAGAGUUUCGGCAACGAAAAUGUAACGGGGCUAAAAUCAUUUACCGAAGUUGCGGGUGGCGCGUAAGCGUCGCGGUAGCGGAGCAUUCUGUAGGCCUGUGAAGCGUAAGGCGUGAGCCAGCGUGGAGGUAUCAGAAGCGCGAAUGUUGGCAUGAGUAGCAGCUAAUCAAGGUGAGAAACCUUGACGCCGUAAGAGCAAGGGUUCCUAUCCAAUGUUAAUCAGGGUAGGGUGAGUCGACCCCUAAGGCGAGGCCGAAAGGCGUAGUCGAUGGGAACACGGUUAAUAUUCCGUGACCUGUGCGAGAGUGACGAAUUUGGUAAAUUGUUGUGCCUUAUUGGAUUGGCGCGGCAGUGAACAAGUUCCAGGAAAUAGCCCGCACGUAUAGAUCGUACCCAGAACCAACACAGGUGCUCGAGUCGAGUAGACUAAGGCGGUUGAGAGAACUAUGUUGAAGGAACUAGGCAAAAUGCAUCCGUAACUUCGGAAUAAGGAUGACCUGUUUCAAGGCAACUUUAAUCAGGUGACACAAACCAGGUGGGGGCGACUGUUUACUUAAAACCCAGGUCUCUGCUAAAUCGUAUAAGAUGAUGUAUAGGGACUGACGCCUGCCCAGUGACGGAAGGUUAAGCAGAGGUGUGCAAGCAUUGAUGUGAAGCCCCGUUAAACGGCGGCCGUAACUCUAACGGUCC
RNAcentral lists this ribosomal RNA (1598 nucleotides) under Fibrobacter sp. RNAcentral describes it as "partial 23S ribosomal RNA". It matches the Rfam family "Bacterial large subunit ribosomal RNA", at positions 571 to 1951 of the family's 2925-position model. Lineage: Bacteria; Pseudomonadati; Fibrobacterota; Fibrobacteria; Fibrobacterales; Fibrobacteraceae. The record is from RNAcentral.